GGGGGUAUAGCUCAGUUGGUAGAGCAUCUGAUUUGCAUUCAGAGGGUCUGCGGUUCGAAUCCGCAUGCCUCCA
RNAcentral lists this transfer RNA (73 nucleotides) under Verrucomicrobiota bacterium. RNAcentral's name for it is "Verrucomicrobia bacterium (mine drainage metagenome) tRNA-Ala". It matches the Rfam family "tRNA". From Rfam's summary of the family: Transfer RNA (tRNA) molecules are approximately 80 nucleotides in length. Their secondary structure includes four short double-helical elements and three loops (D, anti-codon, and T loops). Lineage: Bacteria; Pseudomonadati; Verrucomicrobiota. The record is from RNAcentral.